UUGAUACCCCUUGGAGAACAAAGUCUUCUCUUUUUCCACAAGUACAGGUAGAGUGCAGGCAGCAAUAGAGCAUGCUUCCCUAUGCUGCUUCAUCAGUGAUCCAAGCCUCAGCUGGAAGGAACACCUCUUCUGAUGAAGGUGUAGUUCAGGCUCUAUGGCCAUUCAGUCCUUGGUUUCU
RNAcentral lists this small RNA (178 nucleotides) under Chrysemys picta bellii (western painted turtle). RNAcentral describes it as "TUC338 (ENSCPBG00000010923.1)". Lineage: Eukaryota; Metazoa; Chordata; Testudines; Emydidae. The record is from RNAcentral.